ACAGCAGUAGCCGCUGUAAUACGGAGGGUGCAAGCGUUAAUCGGAAUUACUGGGCGUAAAGCGCACGCAGGCGGUUUGUUAAGUCAGAUGUGAAAUCCCCGAGCUUAACUUGGGAACUGCAUUUGAAACUGGCAAGCUAGAGUCUUGUAGAGGGGGGUAGAAUUCCAGGUGUAGCGGUGAAAUGCGUAGAGAUCUGGAGGAAUACCGGUGGCUAAGGCGGCCCCCUGGACAAAGACUGACGCUCAGGUGCGAAAGCGUGGGGAGCAAACAGGAUUAGAUACCCCAGUAGUCCCUGUCUCUUAUAC
Molecule: ribosomal RNA, 305 nt
Filed under: uncultured bacterium
Lineage: Bacteria
Description: partial 16S ribosomal RNA
Rfam family: Bacterial small subunit ribosomal RNA
Source: RNAcentral